RNAcentral lists this unclassified non-coding RNA (296 nucleotides) under uncultured Orbiliales. RNAcentral's name for it is "sequence contains 5.8S rRNA gene, ITS2, 28S rRNA gene". The stretch from base 1 to 52 matches the Rfam family "5.8S ribosomal RNA", at positions 103 to 154 of the family's 154-position model. The record is from RNAcentral. Lineage: Eukaryota; Fungi; Ascomycota; Orbiliomycetes; Orbiliales.
AACGCACAUUGCGCCUGCUGGUAUUCCGGUAGGCAUGCCUGUUUGAGCGUCAGCAAAAACUCUCAGCUGAAAUUUAUUUUCUGGCUGGUUAUGGGUGUUUGGAGGAAACUUGGUCCUUUGUGUCCAGCUCCCGCCUUAAACUUGCUGCACGACCGCAAGCUAAUGUUAGGUUAAUGGAGUGGUAUUUUCUUAUAAUUCCAGCAACUGUUCAUAGCUUCCGCGGCGUUAAACCCGAUGUUACUUAACUGUGACUGAAGUUUGACCUCAAAUCAGACAAGGAUACCCGCUGAACUUAA